AUAGGAAAUGACAAUAUUUAAAGCACUUUGCUAGGAAAGAUAAAACAUUGUUACAUACAUCUCCUCAUAAAAUAAAUGUAAAUUUGAAUAAAAAGGUUAAGUUUACUGUUAUCAAGAAUGGAUGUUGUAUAAUGUUUUGAAGCAUUUGAUGAACAGUCUCAUUCUGAGUAAGUUAGCAGGAAAUAUCAGUUAUUGUCUGUAGGAGGACAUUAUAUAUUGGCAGAAUUCAAGGUCCCUGUUUCACAGUUUCAUCAACUGCGAUAUAAUGUGGCAUAUGUACUGAAAGAGAUGGAAGAUUUAGAGAAGAAAAGUAUUCUAAAGAUUCAAGAUUAACACAGUUUAAUGUGAUUAUUGUCAGGGACAUGAAUGGUUGAACUUUUCUUGUUUUUAUAUAAAAUUCAUUACAGCAAUUUUUUGAUUUAUGUAUCAAAAUAAAAUGAACAAAACAGC
Saccostrea cuccullata (small rock oyster) is the source of this 450-nucleotide long non-coding RNA. RefSeq lists it as uncharacterized. The record is from RefSeq and is a predicted model, not a curated record. The transcript is spliced from 2 exons. Lineage: Eukaryota; Metazoa; Mollusca; Bivalvia; Ostreida; Ostreidae.